RNAcentral lists this small nucleolar RNA (71 nucleotides) under Hucho hucho (huchen). Lineage: Eukaryota; Metazoa; Chordata; Actinopteri; Salmoniformes; Salmonidae. The record is from RNAcentral.
CUCUGACGUGAUGAGUCAUUACCGCCCCAGUCUGAUGUAACGCUGACUGAUUGGUUACGCUCUGAUCAAGU